This 253-nucleotide ribosomal RNA is filed under the name uncultured bacterium. RNAcentral's name for it is "partial 16S ribosomal RNA". It matches the Rfam family "Bacterial small subunit ribosomal RNA", at positions 524 to 776 of the family's 1533-position model. The record is from RNAcentral.
UACAGAGGGCGCAAGCGUUGUUCGGAAUUAUUGGGCGUAAAGCGCUUGUAGGCGGUCUGUUAAGUCGCGUGUGAAAUCCCCAGGCUUAACCUGGGAAGUGCGCGCGAAACUGGCGGACUUGAGUGCCGGAGAGGGUCGCGGAAUUCCCGGUGUAGAGGUGAAAUUCGUAGAUAUCGGGAGGAACACCAGUGGCGAAGGCGGCGACCUGGACGGACACUGACGCUGAGACGCGAAAGCGUGGGGAGCAAACAGG